RNAcentral lists this long non-coding RNA (320 nucleotides) under Bos taurus (domestic cattle). RNAcentral's name for it is "long non-coding RNA NONBTAT023905". The record is from RNAcentral. Lineage: Eukaryota; Metazoa; Chordata; Mammalia; Artiodactyla; Bovidae.
UUUUGGUAAAACUAUUCACCCAGAAUUAAAAUAGUGUCAAAUGAAGCCGUAGAUGAAAAAGGAAUAGAUUGUAUGAUUCCCUAGUAACUGUGUGAACAGAACUGAUCAGGUAACACAGCUCUGGUGUUAAUUUCCUUACCAUAAAAGGAAAGAUGCUGACCUCAAAUUUAACCUCUGAAAGAGACCUGUUCACAAGCUUUUACACAAGAGAGAAAAUCAGCUUUCAUGAUAUUUAACUUAGGGAUGCUUUAGAUACCAAGACCGGAGAAUGGUGAUGGGUCUUAGAAUGCCACAUUUGAGCAAGUAAAAUAGUAAAGCAC